Molecule: non-coding RNA, 1004 nt
Organism: Camelina sativa (false flax)
Lineage: Eukaryota; Viridiplantae; Streptophyta; Magnoliopsida; Brassicales; Brassicaceae
Source: RefSeq, a predicted model, not a curated record
UCAUGGGUUUUUGUCAUCAGGUUAUCCAGCCAUUCUUCUACCUAUCGACGCAGAAACUAUGAUUACUAGAAGCUAUUGGUGGGUGAUUAGAAAGAUUCUGAUUUACUGCUUUUUUCCCUUUGUGACCUUUUCCCGUCCCACUAAAACAGUGUGAGAUCCUGAAGCCUGAAGCCAACCCCACAGCCCACAGUUGAAGCCUUUUCCACCAAACAAGAUGACAAAGCUGAACCACCAAACUCUACCUAGGAGAACCGAUUACAUGCGGAUGAGAUAUUUAAGUUUGUUUCAAAACUUUCCAUGUCCGCUUGUAACCAAAAUACUGCCAAGUUCCUACCCGUUAAAAACCUUAUCCAGUUGGCCUUGGCUGUAAUGCUGUCUGUCUUUCAGUUUACCUUUUCUUUCCUUGGAUCAGAUUCCGAAACCUUAGUUUGGUUGCGUGUAGUUCCGUAUGUAUGAAUUAUUCAAUUUCUGUCAAACGCUCUCUUGCAUUGGUUUUACUUUCAGCUUGCUUAAACCUCACACUUACAGGUUUCCGUAUCCCAAACUAUUACCUGAAUAGUCUCUCAAGAGUUGUUACAGAUCUUAUGCAGGGAAAGAGAUGAGUGAGAAUAUCAGUUACUGUCAACGAACCAUUUUGGGCAUUAACAUCAAUCUGUUAUCCCUUUUGGUCCACUUGAAAGGUAUAGAAACUUCUUCUCUCUAUGUUAUAUGUCUUUGCACAUAUGCGUGUUUGCCAGGAGUUAAAAGACAGGUUGCUAUAUCUGGAAGAAGAGACCAAUCUUUUGGCCAUUUGAUUGUCGGUAACUUCAUCUCUCCGCGUGAAUGACUACGCCAAAGACGGUUCGGUUUGGUGGCUAUGACUGUCUGGUUUCCCUGUCUGAGCCACCUCUUCAUUUCUUGAAUGUUGAAUUGAAUGAUGAGUAUACUUUAGAUUGGUAGAAGAAAAUUAUUUUAUCUCAACUUUUUUAAGAAAAUUAUAUGAAUCAAUUUCUUUUGUAAAACUA